Molecule: long non-coding RNA, 1299 nt
Organism: Bos taurus (domestic cattle)
Lineage: Eukaryota; Metazoa; Chordata; Mammalia; Artiodactyla; Bovidae
Source: Ensembl
GUCCGAAGGGCCCUCUCCAUCCCCGGGAGACUCGGUGUGCGAGGGGGUGGGGGCUUCUGGGAUGCGGGCGACCCAGCCCCGAAUUGCGGGACUCCGCGGGGUCUCGCUGCCCCCUCCCGGCCGGCCGCGCGCUUCCUUGCCCGCUCCGCGUCUCUGCUUCUGUCCCCUCCGUCUCUGCGUCUCUCGUCUGCAUUCUUCUCCGCGCGCUUUCCUCCUCCCGGGCUCGGGAGUCGGCCGGUGCGUCGUCUCCGCUGUCGCGCGGCCUCCUGGGCUCCAUCGCCCCCCUGUCCGGGACACGAUUAUCUCCCCCUUCGAACGGCCCCAGGUUGUCAGUGCGGCCCCACGACAGCCUGGCAGGGCGAGCAGUGUCCCCAGCUUAGGAUUGAGGAUUCAGGCCCACCGACUCCAGAUCACACAGACUGCAGCGUGGGGGAAGACAGAGCUGGGUCCAGCGCUCUUUCCAGCAGGGAAAUGACAUGAGCCAGUGUGUGUGCUCCAGAGCUCAGCCCUGUGCGUGGCGGGCUGCCUUGGAGGGGCUCUGGGAAGAUGUGAGGGUGAGGGCAGCUGGCCGGCUCAGAAGAGAGACGCCUUCAGAUACACCCAAUGUGGCCCCAAGAAAGGCAGAGACAAGCACCGCGGGAGCCUGAGGCCACGUCUCCCUGCAGGGCCAGGGGGCAAGCCCCAUCCCAGGAGUGGAAGAGAGGAGGGGGCCGGGAGGCCCUGGUGGAUGCGACGCAGAAGCAGGCCACGACCGACCGUGCUGCUGCCCUUUGCUGUGGUCCCGCUUUCCUCCGGGAUGUCCCGAGUGGCUUCACUGGAAGUCAUCCUCCUGGAGGACCUGGAGGAGGGAAGCACUGGGCCUCAGGACCUCCAAGCCAAUCAUCUGAGCCUGGGGCUCUCAGGGCUGAGAAAAGACCGGGGUUUUGGGUGUGUGUGCAUGUGUGCCUGUGUGUGUGUGUGUGCCUCUGUGUGUGUGUGCCUCCGUGUGUGUGUAGGCGUGUGUGCCUCCGUGUGUAUCUGUGUGUGUGUGUCUGCAGACCUCAGAGAGGGAGGCUUCACCCUGCGGCCGGAGGAGGUGGUGAACUCAGGGUGCGUCCCCGCCGAGCCUCUCGUGUCCUGCCGCCGCCGCGCGAGGGGCCUGCCUCGGCUACUCCCAGGCGCACAGGGGCCUGAGCCGGCGGGCGCCGAGAACCUGGGCCCAGGGACGGCCUGGACCCCACCGACACUGGCCCAGGAGCGCAGCCUCAGUCUCACUGCCGGGUCGGUUCUGCCCAAGGUCACCGCGCGCCGCUCGGAUUC